CCUACGGGAGGCAGCAGUGGGGAAUAUUGCACAAUGGGCGCAAGCCUGAUGCAGCAACGCCGCGUGAGGGACGACGGCCUUCGGGUUGUAAACCUCUUUUAGUAGGGAAGAAGCGAAGGUGACGGUACCUGCAGAAAAAGCACCGGCUAACUACGUGCCAGCAGCCGCGGUAAUACGUAGGGUGCAAGCGUUAUCCGGAAUUAUUGGGCGUAAAGAGCUCGUAGGCGGUUUGUCACGUCUGCUGUGAAAACUGGAGGCUCAACCUCCAGCCUGCAGUGGGUACGGGCAGACUAGAGUGCGGUAGGGGAGAUUGGAAUUCCUGGUGUAGCGGUGGAAUGCGCAGAUAUCAGGAGGAACACCGAUGGCGAAGGCAGAUCUCUGGGCCGUAACUGACGCUGAGGAGCGAAAGCAUGGGGAGCGAACAGGAUUAGAUACCCUGGUAGUCCAUGCCGUAAACGUUGGGAACUAGAUGUAGGGACCAUUCCACGGUUUCUGUGUCGCAGCUACGACAUACGUUACCCGUCCGUCGGGUAGGUACGGCCGCGACGACGUAACGUACGAACGUAGAGUAGACGGCGUGAGACGUGCCGACGGACGACGACGAGGGAGGUUAGG
RNAcentral lists this ribosomal RNA (615 nucleotides) under uncultured bacterium. RNAcentral describes it as "bacterial SSU rRNA". The stretch from base 1 to 524 matches the Rfam family "Bacterial small subunit ribosomal RNA", at positions 338 to 873 of the family's 1533-position model. The record is from RNAcentral.